This 896-nucleotide ribosomal RNA is filed under the name Bacillus subtilis. RNAcentral's name for it is "bacterial SSU rRNA". It matches the Rfam family "Bacterial small subunit ribosomal RNA", at positions 1 to 870 of the family's 1533-position model. Lineage: Bacteria; Bacillati; Bacillota; Bacilli; Caryophanales; Bacillaceae. The record is from RNAcentral.
AAACACGCCAGCCCGUAGAGUUUGAUUCUUGGCUCAGGACGAACGCGGCGGCGUGCCUAAUACAUGCAAGUCGAGCGGACAGAUGGGAGCUUGCUCCUGAUGUUAGCGGCGGACGGGUGAGUAACACGUGGGUAACCUGCCUGUAAGACUGGGAUAACUCCGGGAAACCGGGGCUAAUACCGGAUGGUUGUUUGAACCGCAUGGUUCAAACAUAAAAGGUGGCUUCGGCUACCACUUACAGAUGGACCCGCGGCGCAUUAGCUAGUUGGUGAGGUAAUGGCUCACCAAGGCAACGAUGCGUAGCCGACCUGAGAGGGUGAUCGGCCACACUGGGACUGAGACACGGCCCAGACUCCUACGGGAGGCAGCAGUAGGGAAUCUUCCGCAAUGGACGAAAGUCUGACGGAGCAACGCCGCGUGAGUGAUGAAGGUUUUCGGAUCGUAAAGCUCUGUUGUUAGGGAAGAACAAGUACCGUUCGAAUAGGGCGGUACCUUGACGGUACCUAACCAGAAAGCCACGGCUAACUACGUGCCAGCAGCCGCGGUAAUACGUAGGUGGCAAGCGUUGUCCGGAAUUAUUGGGCGUAAAGGGCUCGCAGGCGGUUUCUUAAGUCUGAUGUGAAAGCCCCCGGCUCAACCGGGGAGGGUCAUUGGAAACUGGGGAACUUGAGUGCAGAAGAGGAGAGUGGAAUUCCACGUGUAGCGGUGAAAUGCGUAGAGAUGUGGAGGAACACCAGUGGCGAAGGCGACUCUCUGGUCUGUAACUGACGCUGAGGAGCGAAAGCGUGGGGAGCGAACAGGAUUAGAUACCCUGGUAGUCCACGCCGUAAACGAUGAGUGCUAAGUGUUAGGGGGUUUCCGCCCCUUAGUGCUGCAGCUAACGCAUUAAGCACUCC